Trichonephila clavata is the source of this 64-nucleotide non-coding RNA. The record is from the annotation of a GenBank genome assembly. Lineage: Eukaryota; Metazoa; Arthropoda; Arachnida; Araneae; Nephilidae.
UGUAGCGUAGCGGACAGCGCUUUGGAAUUCUAAUCCAAAGAUCUUGGGUUCGAAUCCCACCUAA